GAUGAACGCUGGCGGCGUGCUUAACACAUGCAAGUCGAACGGAAAGGCCCAAGCUUGCUUGGGUUCUCGAGUGGCGAACGGGUGAGUAACACGUGGGUGAUCUGCCCUGCACUUCGGGAUAAGCCUGGGAAACUGGGUCUAAUACCGGAUAGGACGAUGGUUUGGAUGCCAUUGUGGAAAGUUUUUUCGGUGUGGGAUGAGCUCGCGGCCUAUCAGCUUGUUGGUGGGGUAAUGGCCUACCAAGGCGUCGACGGGUAGCCGGCCUGAGAGGGUGUACGGCCACAUUGGGACUGAGAUACGGCCCAGACUCCUACGGGAGGCAGCAGUGGGGAAUAUUGCACAAUGGGCGCAAGCCUGAGGCAGCGACGCCGCGUGGGGGAUGACGGCCUUCGGGUUGUAAACUCCUGUCGCUAGGGACGAAGCGUUUUUGUGACGGUACCUGGAGAAGAAGCACCGGCUAACUACGUG
RNAcentral lists this ribosomal RNA (468 nucleotides) under uncultured bacterium. Its description in RNAcentral is "partial 16S ribosomal RNA". It matches the Rfam family "Bacterial small subunit ribosomal RNA", at positions 28 to 507 of the family's 1533-position model. The record is from RNAcentral.